This is a long non-coding RNA of Ovis aries (sheep), 2328 nucleotides long. NCBI's taxonomy places the organism in Eukaryota, Metazoa, Chordata, Mammalia, Artiodactyla, Bovidae. The record is from Ensembl.
CGGAGUGAGCAGCCGGCUUGAGGUCUGACCCCCGCCCGCUCCCGGCCAGAGGCGGGGCCCUCCGGCGCUGCGGGGCCCCUCUCCCCGGGGGCCGCCAGCUGCUGGGCGCUGAGUCGGCGGCCGGGUCGGCAGACACCGCCCUGCCGCCGCGGUCCCGGGGCGGGGGACGUGCAGGCCGGGAGGGCGUGGGCCCCCGCCGGGCGCGCGGACGGGCUGCUUUGCGGCUGGUGGUCUUCCUGUGGUCAGCGCGGUGACCGGAAACUCCUGCCCGGCCCGGCGCCGCCGUGUGCCGAGCCCCGUGCCCCCUCCUCCUCCGCGCUGGCGGAGGGGGUUCCUCGAGUCUGCACAGAGCUCCAGUCUGGCCCCCCCGGGAAGCCGCCGGCCCCUGUGCGUCCCCUCACCCGCUCCCCGCUCCCCUGCCAGCACCCCGGGCUCUGGGCUGCGCGUCCAGCCUUCUCUCCAGGAAAGCUGCCCAGGCCUCCAGCUGCCUUUGCCAAAUGCCGCUGUGUGUGCUUGGUGCUUCACCUCCACCUUCGGGAGAAGGAACAGGGGCCGCGGAUGGAUAAGCAGCUCCCCAGGGGCGAGAGUGCUGCUGCAGGGAAGCUGGGUGGCAGGGGUCAGGCCUGCUGUGCAGUGGAAGCCCAGGGCCAGAGCAGCAGAGGGCGGGGCAGGGCAGGGCCCACCUAGCACUCAGGGUCUCUGAGCGCCUGAGCCUGCCGGGCUGGCCUUGGGGAGGCCGGGUGGAGGCUGGGGUACCCCGGGCCUGGCUGCAUGGGCGUCGCUGCAGGAGAAAGCCUGUUAAGACACACCUGACGUUUGGGGAGGGGGAGGGAGCGCUGUCAUCUAGGACCCCCCCCCCCCCCCAAGCAGCAAGGCAGGUGGCCUCUGGUCCUCGCUGACUGUGUGGCCCUGAAGUUCUCUCCCGGUUUGUGUGAUUUUUCUAACAGCUCAGAGAUCUUCACUCAAGGCCUGGGGUGUCCCACUGCCCCUCAGGGACCUGGGGCAGGUGUGGCGGGCUCUGACCCGUGCGAGGGGCACAUCGAAAGGAAGGCAGACACUGUGCUUCUGUGCCCCCCGUGCCAGCCUCCGGGCCCCGACCUAGACAUCUCUCGGGGUGAACUGGGGUUUUGUUUCCUGUCUACAAAGUACUAGAAACUGGACAGGAGAAAAUAAAUCAGAGGCUUUAUUCCUACAGGGAUGAGAAGGGGGCUGUUUCUUAUCUGCCUGGGGAAUUUGGGGCCAAGUGUCAAGAAACCCAUGAGAACACUGAAUUAAUUCUUCAGUAAAUUGUUUAAUAAACACUGUCUUCCCAUUAGGAGAGUAAUACUUCUUUAUCACCGAAAGUUUGGAAAAGUAUCUAAUGAGCCAGAACUAGGGACUCCACAUAACUUGGCUUGGGUUUUCACAGGUUUAACUCGUGCCGUGAUGAACAUCUUUGCCAAUUUGUCCCUGGAAGCCGCCGGCUCAGUUUUCCCAAGAGUAAAUUCCUAGAAGAGACACUGCCGGGCCAAGGACUGGGAUGUAUUUUGGCCAAAAUGCCCUCCGGAAAGGCCCGGCUGAGUACCGUCUGCCCUGUGGGGCUGGCUCCUGUCCUCUGUUCGCCUCUGGCAAUCUCACAGGGCGGCUAUUACCUAACCCUGAGGUUUCCUAACCCGUUUGCCAAUUUAAUGGCUAAACUUACAAAUAAGAACUACUGAAUACCUGCAGGGGUGUGAAUUACAGAUUCCUGUGGCCAGCAGAAGCCCAAGAUGUGACGGGUAAUAAACAAACUCUGGAAGGGGAGAGGCUUUCUUCGCUUCUUGUUCGAAGCCACCAACCUUCAGAUAUCUGUGUAUGCACGCAGAUCUGUGCACAGGAGCACAGGCGCGCGUGUGGACGCACAGUGCACAUGUGCACGCGUUUGCACUGAACUUUUAGGAAGCUCUGUCUCCUGCGUGGUGGUAGGUCAUCAUUGGAGGAAGGGCACUGGUCGUAUCGAAACUCUCCUAUUGUAAGAGGUGCCGACCUUGGUGUUUAGUUCCCCAGUCAGGCUGCUCACUGCGGGUUCAGGGUCUCCUGGGAUCAGCCUCCAGGCCACCUUCCCCUGGUUCCUGCAAUGGACCCACCUGGCACCGUGAAGUGGGCUCCCUUCCCCAGGGCAGGGGUCCCCCACGCAUCUCUGCUCAGCCUAGUCCGACGUUUCUAGAAGGAUAGCCGGCAGCUCUGCUGUCCCGCGGGUGGGUGAGUGGGGGGAGCAGGGGCUGGGGCGGUGGCCGGGCUUCUGGUCGGGCUCCGGGGCCCCUCGUGGUCGCUGCUGGCCUCUGACCCCGCGCUUGUCCUCCUGUCAAG